This 433-nucleotide ribosomal RNA is filed under the name uncultured bacterium. RNAcentral's name for it is "partial 16S ribosomal RNA". It matches the Rfam family "Bacterial small subunit ribosomal RNA", at positions 29 to 507 of the family's 1533-position model. The record is from RNAcentral.
AACGAACGCUGGCGGCAUGCCUAACACAUGCAAGUCGAACGAGACCUUCGGGUCUAGUGGCGCACGGGUGCGUAACGCGUGGGAACCUGCCUUUAGGUUCGGAAUAACACAGAGAAAUUUGAGCUAAUACCGGAUGAUGUCUUCGGACCAAAGAUUUAUCGCCUUUAGAUGGGCCCGCGUUGGAUUAGCUAGUUGGUGGGGUAAAGGCCCACCAAGGCGACGAUCCAUAGCUGGUCUGAGAGGAUGAUCAGCCACACUGGGACUGAGACACGGCCCAGACUCCUACGGGAGGCAGCAGUGGGGAAUAUUGGACAAUGGGCGAAAGCCUGAUCCAGCAAUGCCGCGUGAGUGAUGAAGGCCUUAGGGUUGUAAAGCUCUUUUACCCGAGAUGAUAAUGACAGUAUCGGGAGAAUAAGCUCCGGCUAACUCCGUG